AUCAUGAACCGGUAUCUAACAAAAAGCCCAAGUCUCCAUUCUCUUCUUUCCUAGCAGCUAUGGUCCUCCAUGGACACAACUGUUUGGAACCAUUUUUCAUUCACGCUUCAGACAUGAUCCAUGUAUGUAGAGCAUGCACAUACUAUAAAAUCUUUGGGUUCUUUAAAAAUAUAAAUAGCCUCUUAGACAUAUUGUCAUACACAUUGCUUUUUUUCACUUCAUAUUCUAUCUUAGAGAUUGUUUUACAUUGGGCAUUAAAAGAAAUCGCCCUAUAAUCCCAGCAACUUGGGAAGCUGAGGCAGGAAGAUCGUAAAAUUCAAAGCCAGCCUUAGCAACUCUGAGAGAUCCUGUCUCAAAAUACAUAAAUAGAGAGACAGACAGACAGACAGAUAAAUAACAAAAGUACUGGGGAUGUAGCUCAGUGGUUAAACCUCCCUGGGUUCAAUCCCUGUUACCAUAAAUAAAUAAAUAAGAUCCUCUUGCAUUUUAAAAUGACAAUCUGAGCGCUUUGUAAAUCUAAAUGCACAUCUAGUCCAUUUCAGUUAGGAAUCAAAAACCCUACCCAAAGGAGGAGAAGGCCUUGAACUGAAUGUGUUGUUUUCUAAAGUUGUAUUUGGGCACAUUAUGGCAAAUUGUGCACAACUCUUUUCUGGGUGUGGGACAUGCUGGGGAUCAAACUCAGGCCUUAGUCAAGCUAAGCCCAUGAUCAACCACUGAGCUACACCUCCAGCCCCAUUGUGUGCAAUUUGAUGAAAACACAUGGGAACACUUGCAAAGUUUUUAAUGUGUUUUUGCACAUUACUAGCCCUUGCUGUGAUGUCCAGCCGCCAGCCCUCAGUGCUUGUCUGCUCCCGAAAAAGGCUCCAAUUUCACAUGUGCAGCUAUAGAGUUGACAUUUCCAAAACCUGGGAGAAGGUUUCUUUAUCAGCACAUUAGCAACGUGGUCUUGAGUUAGUUGCAAGUUUCAACUGCUGCCAUCAGAGCUUUUUAAUUAUGAAUGACUGUUAGCUUAGCUUAUCAUUAUCAGUUUAUUUUGUUGUGGGUCCUUGGUUAACCCUCUAGAAUAUAUUGAAGCUUAUUUGCAUCAACAGUAUUCUAGGGCUAUAAUUUUCCAAUAAGUAGAUUCUACAACAUGUAUACAUUGUGGUUCCAAUAGGAAUCAUUCUACUCCAGUGCUAAAGC
This 1182-nucleotide long non-coding RNA is filed under the name Marmota monax (woodchuck). Lineage: Eukaryota; Metazoa; Chordata; Mammalia; Rodentia; Sciuridae. The record is from RNAcentral.